GUUCUUGCUUAGUUAGUCUCCUUCUUUCUUCCUCCCUAUUAAUCUUUGGCAUUUCUUGUGAUAUUGCUCGGCUAGGGUUCGAGCGAGGCGUACGGUAUUUCUGGGGUAGUGGGUGAAAUCCUAUAAUCCCAGGAGGUCCUCCAUUGGCUAAGGCUGUCUGCUAGCACGCGCCUGGCGGGAUGUAUGCAAGCUGGGGGAGCGAACCGGUUUAUAUUACCCGGGUAGUCCCAUCUGUUAAACUAUGCAUACUAGGUGUUUGGUCGGCCACGUGCCGUUCUAGUUCCGCA
RNAcentral lists this ribosomal RNA (287 nucleotides) under uncultured archaeon SYA_2000_61. RNAcentral's name for it is "partial 16S ribosomal RNA". It matches the Rfam family "Archaeal small subunit ribosomal RNA", at positions 521 to 805 of the family's 1478-position model. The record is from RNAcentral.